This 69-nucleotide transfer RNA is filed under the name Parus major (Great Tit). Its description in RNAcentral is "tRNA (ENSPMJG00000000002.1)". The record is from RNAcentral. Lineage: Eukaryota; Metazoa; Chordata; Aves; Passeriformes; Paridae.
GUCCCCGUAGCUUACAACAAAGCAUGACACUGAAGAUGUCAAGACGGUUGUCCCAUACACCCGAGGACA